This 253-nucleotide ribosomal RNA is filed under the name uncultured bacterium. RNAcentral describes it as "partial 16S ribosomal RNA". It matches the Rfam family "Bacterial small subunit ribosomal RNA", at positions 524 to 776 of the family's 1533-position model. The record is from RNAcentral.
UACGUAGGGGGCAAGCGUUGUCCGGAUUUAUUGGGCGUAAAGAGCGUGUAGGCGGCCAGACAGGUCCGUUGUGAAAACUCGAGGCUCAACCUCGAGAUGUCGAUGGAAACCGUCUGGCUAGAGUCCGGAAGAGGAGUGUGGAAUUCCCGGUGUAGCGGUGAAAUGCGCAGAUAUCGGGAGGAACACCAAUGGCGAAGGCAGCUCGCUGGGACGGUACUGACGCUGAGACGCGAAAGCGUGGGGAGCGAACAGG